This 301-nucleotide ribosomal RNA is filed under the name uncultured bacterium. RNAcentral describes it as "partial 16S ribosomal RNA". It matches the Rfam family "Bacterial small subunit ribosomal RNA", at positions 509 to 807 of the family's 1533-position model. The record is from RNAcentral.
CAGUAGCCGCGGGAAUACGGAGGGAGCUAGCGUUGUUCGGAAUUACUGGGCGUAAAGCGCGCGUAGGCGGUUACUCAAGUCAGAGGUGAAAGCCCAAGGCUCAACCCCGGAACUGCCUUUGAAACUAGGUGACUAGAAUCUUGGAGAGGUCAGUGGAAUUCCGAGUGUAGAGGUGAAAUUCGUAGAUAUUCGGAAGAACACCAGUGGCGAAGGCGACUGACUGGACAAGUAUUGACGCUGAGGUGCGAAAGCGUGGGGAGCAAACAGGAUUAGAUACCCCAGUAGUCCCUGUCUCUUAUAC